Molecule: long non-coding RNA, 662 nt
Organism: Tigriopus californicus
Lineage: Eukaryota; Metazoa; Arthropoda; Copepoda; Harpacticoida; Harpacticidae
Exons: 3
Source: RefSeq, a predicted model, not a curated record
UAAGCUGGUUUUGAGUCUAAACUGAUAUCCAGGCGUCAUGGUCGUCCAACUCCACCAUCACCAGUCAGAUCAGUUGACGUUGGGAGGAAAAGAACGAAUGUUACCCCAAAAUCUGAUCGCGACUCGGCAGUUGCUAUUGAACAUUCGAACAGCGGAGAGCUAGAGAAGAGAGUCAUGAUGAAAUUGCUUCCAGUUGCCGCUGUAUUUCUCUUGGUCGUCAUCUUGGCCGUCAUCCAGCCUUCAAACUGCCUCUUUCUCGGCCAAGGAGGAGUGUAUGACAGUCCGGAGGCACAAGCUUACUGGAACGAAAGGUUUGGCAAGGAUGUGUUCAGCGCUGCUCGAGCUGCUGGCAAGCUCUAUUCACAACGUGAGGCCAGAGUGGUGAGGCAACCAAUUAGUAGGCGGACAUCCCGAGUGACCCAAUACGUGCCGACCUUCAGUGGAACUUACUCCAAACCUUCAAGGUUCUACCCAACAGCCCAAAGACCAUAGAGAGAUAUGAGACAGUGCUUUUCUCAUCUCCCAAAUUGCAGUUGCUUGCUUGCCUGUCUGCCAGCAUGUCUACUUCCCUCCCUUAUCCCUCAAAAACCUUUAUCUAAAUCUGGAUUCUUACAGACACAUUCGCUAUGAGCAAUAAAUCUUAUAUUAUUCCAUACACUACA